Molecule: transfer RNA, 68 nt
Filed under: Marmota monax (woodchuck)
Lineage: Eukaryota; Metazoa; Chordata; Mammalia; Rodentia; Sciuridae
Description: tRNA.Ala
Source: RNAcentral
GUUGUGGUUCAAUGGUAGGAGGCUGGCCUAGCAUGUGUGAGGCACUGGGUUCAAUUCUCAGCAUGACA